UCUUCAUCAUCAAGCUUUUGUUUUUGCUUCUGUUUUUCAUUUUUCAAACACAAAAACUUUGUUUUGCUCCUUGCUGUUAAUCGAAAAUUCCAACACCCUUGACUUGAGCUGCAGUUGGCUUUUUGGCAACUUCCCUUAAAUAACAGUCUCUUCCUUCUUCCUCACCUUCAAAAACUCAAUCUUGCCUUCAAUAAUUUUAAUCAGUCAAAAAUUCCAUCUGAGUUUGGUCGAUUUACAGGCCUACUCUACCUCAACCUUUCUCAUACAGGGUUUGUAGGAGUAGUCCCAUCGCAAGUCUCCCACCUGUCAAAGUUGGUCUCGCUUGAUCUCUCUUGGAUUGAUGAACAAUUAACAAUUGACAAAUAUGCUCUGGAGGGACUUGUUCACAACCUAACCGAGAUCCAUAUUUUUUUGGAGGAUUGCCUGAGUCAAUAGGGAAUCUUGUAUCCUUGAAGUUUUUGGAUCUCUCCCAUUCCAACUUAUCAGGACCAAUUCCAAGAUCAUUGGGAAACCUCUUGCAACUCACUCAUUUAAACUUGGGACGGAACAAAUUGAGUGGACAAAUUCCAUUGUCAAUUCUAAACCUAACGCAGCUGGAAUACUUGAAAAUAGCUGGAAAUUCAUUAGAAGGUUCCAUUCCAGAUGAGGUAACCACUUUUCUUUAUCUAAUAUCUUUAGACUUAACAAACAAUUUACUGAAUGGAACACUUCCAUCAUGGUUGUAUUUUGCUCUCUCCUUAAAGACAAUAUAUCUCUCUCAAAAUCAAUUCAGUGGGAAUAUCAAAGAAUUCCAAUCCAAAUCACUAGAAUAUUUAUAUCUAAAAAAUAAUAAACUCCAAGGUCCUCUUCCAUCUUCAAUAUUCCAACUUCUCAAUCUUACCAAGCUGAUUUUAUCCUCAAAUAAUCUUACUGGUGUCAUAGAGUUUAGUCUCAAUAAUAUCUGCUUUCAAGACUUUGUCAGUAAAAGCUUACUUAUGUGGGCAUAAUAAUAUAAUGAAUUAAAACAUCAA
Molecule: long non-coding RNA, 1010 nt
Organism: Gossypium raimondii (Peruvian cotton)
Lineage: Eukaryota; Viridiplantae; Streptophyta; Magnoliopsida; Malvales; Malvaceae
Exons: 2
Source: RefSeq, a predicted model, not a curated record